RNAcentral lists this ribosomal RNA (206 nucleotides) under uncultured bacterium. RNAcentral's name for it is "partial 16S ribosomal RNA". It matches the Rfam family "Bacterial small subunit ribosomal RNA", at positions 568 to 774 of the family's 1533-position model. The record is from RNAcentral.
CGCGUAGGCGGUCCGACAAGUCAGGGGUGAAAUCCUGCAGCUUAACUGCAGAAGUGCCUUUGAUACUGUCGGUCUUGAGGGAGAUAGGGGUGUGCGGAACUCACAGUGGAGCGGUGAAAUGCGUUGAUAUUGUGAGGAACGCCGGAGGCGAAAGCGGCGCACUGGAUCUCUUCUGACGCUGAGGCGCGAAAGCUAGGGAGCAAACG